RNAcentral lists this ribosomal RNA (483 nucleotides) under uncultured bacterium. RNAcentral's name for it is "partial 16S ribosomal RNA". It matches the Rfam family "Bacterial small subunit ribosomal RNA", at positions 28 to 507 of the family's 1533-position model. The record is from RNAcentral.
GAUGAACGCUUGCGGCAGGCUUAAUACAUGCAAGUCGAACGGUAACAGGGUCUUUGGACUGCUGACGAGUGGCGGAUGGGUGAGUAACGCGUAUGCAACCUUCCUCACACCGAGAAAAAGUCGACUGAAAAGUUGAAUAAAGUCUCGUGGUGUGCAUUUCUCGCAUGAGGGAUGUAUGAUAGAAGCAAUUUGGUGUGAGAUGGGCAUGCGUAUCAUUAGCUAGUUGGUAAGGUAACGGCUUACCAAGGCGACGAUGAUUAGGGGGCCUGAGAGGGUGGUCCCCCACACUGGGACUGGGACACGGCCCAGACUCCUACGGGAGGCAGCAGUAGGGAGUAUUGGUCAAUGGGCGGAAGCCUGAACCAGCCAUGCCGCGUGAUGGAUGACGGCCUUAGGGUUGUAAACAUCUUUUCAGCUAGAGGAAUAGAGUUCACGCGUGGACAGACGACUGUAUAGCAGGAAUAAGGAUCGGCUAACUCCGUG